RNAcentral lists this ribosomal RNA (253 nucleotides) under uncultured bacterium. RNAcentral's name for it is "partial 16S ribosomal RNA". It matches the Rfam family "Bacterial small subunit ribosomal RNA", at positions 524 to 776 of the family's 1533-position model. The record is from RNAcentral.
GACGGAGGGUGCUAGCGUUGUUCGGAAUCACUGGGCGUAAAGGGCGCGUAGGCGGCCUCAGGUGUCGGAUGUGAAAGCCCGGGGCUCAACCCCGGAGGUGCAUCCGAAACUCUGGGGCUGGAGGUCGGAAGAGGAGGGUGGAAUACCCAGUGUAGAGGUGAAAUUCGUAGAUAUUGGGUGGAACACCGGUGGCGAAAGCGGCUCUCUGGUCCGGACCUGACGCUGAGGCGCGAAAGCGUGGGUAGCAAACAGG